This 468-nucleotide ribosomal RNA is filed under the name uncultured bacterium. Its description in RNAcentral is "partial 16S ribosomal RNA". It matches the Rfam family "Bacterial small subunit ribosomal RNA", at positions 28 to 507 of the family's 1533-position model. The record is from RNAcentral.
GACGAACGCUGGCGGCGUGCUUAACGCAUGCAAGUCGAACGGAAAGGCCCUGCUUUUGUGGGGUGCUCGAGUGGCGAACGGGUGAGUAACACGUGAGUAACCUGCCCUUGACUUUGGGAUAACUUCAGGUAACUGGGGCUAAUACCGGAUAGGAGCUCCUGCUGCAUGGUGGGGGUUGGAUAGUUUCGGCGGUUGGGGAUGGACUCGCGGGUUAUCAGCUUGUUGGUGGGGUAGUGGCUGACCAAGGCUUUGACGGGUAGCCGGCCUGGGAGGGUGACCGGCCACAAGGGGACUGAGAGACGGAGCAGACGGGAACGGGAGGCAGCAGGGGGAAGUAUUACAGAAUGAGCGGAAGCGAGAGAAGAAGACGCCGGGUGCGGGAUGACGGGCUGCGGGUGAAGAACCGCUGUCGCCUGAGAAGAAGCGGGAGUGACGGUAAUGAGUAAAGAAGCACCGGCUAACUACGUG